This 334-nucleotide non-coding RNA is filed under the name Desulfosporosinus meridiei. RNAcentral describes it as "T-box sequence". It matches the Rfam family "T-box leader". From Rfam's summary of the family: Uncharged tRNA acts as the effector for transcription antitermination of genes in the T-box leader family. T-boxes are found upstream of many aminoacyl-tRNA synthetase genes and some amino acid biosynthetic genes usually in Gram-positive bacteria. Lineage: Bacteria; Bacillati; Bacillota; Clostridia; Eubacteriales; Desulfitobacteriaceae. The record is from RNAcentral.
AAAAUGACGAUGACAGGAAAUAGUAUAAUCCUAGUGCUGUUUUAAGAGAGUUGCCGGCUGGUGAAAGGCAAUAAUGGUAUGGGUUUAGAACUCUUCCUUGAGUAGCCGACCGAAAUGUAAAAAGUAGGCUCGGACGGAACUUCCACCGUUAAAAGGAAGGGGAUAUCAGAUGACUCGAAGAUCCUUGAUCGAUGUUAGUAGUUAGAUCUAUUAAGUUCUUUUAGAUUCAACUAUGGACACGAACAAGGAAUAUCGAUAAGUCUCGUAUCUGCAGAGAAGACGGCUAUUUGCCGUCAACUUGAGUGGUACCGCGAACUAAUCCUUCGUCUCAAUU